This 339-nucleotide long non-coding RNA is filed under the name Amborella trichopoda. Its description in RNAcentral is "long non-coding RNA (ATRI_LNC000792)". Lineage: Eukaryota; Viridiplantae; Streptophyta; Magnoliopsida; Amborellales; Amborellaceae. The record is from RNAcentral.
AGUCUAAUAAAAUUUUCGUUUUUUCUCAAUGUCUAAAUUCUUUAUAAAAAUGAAGUUAUGAUUCAAAAGGUAUGAAUAGGUCACUAUUGACUGUUUUUUUAGAAUUUUCACUGACAUUGAUGUGGUCAUUGGUUUCAACUAGCCAAAUGAGAUCCAUUUUCAAUCAAACCACUGCCAUUUGAAAGGUAUACGAGUAGGCUAAAACUUGCAUUUAGAAAUUAUUUUGAAAUUCGUUUUAGAUUGAAAGUUAUACUUUGGUUGAAGGUAUGUCACUGUAGACAGUUUUAGCAAAAGCAUAGAUUUAAUGUAUCAGAUGUCACUAAGUUUGACUAACCAAAA